GACGAACGCUGGCGGCGUGCUUAACACAUGCAAGUCGAACGGAAAGGCCCUGCUUGCAGGGUACUCGAGUGGCCAACGGGUGAGUAACACGUGGGUGAUCUGCCCUGCACUUCGGGAUAAGCUUGGGAAACUGGGUCUAAUACCGGAUAGGAGCCAUCUUUAGUGUGGUGGUUGGAAAGUUUUUUCGGUGUAGGAUGAGCUCGCGGCCUAUCAGCUUGUUGGUGGGGUAAUGGCCUACCAAGGCGGCGACGGGUAGCCGGCCUGAGAGGGUGUACGGCCACAUUGGGACUGAGAUACGGCCCAGACUCCUACGGGAGGCAGCAAUGGGGAAUAUUGCACAAUGGGCGCAAGCCUGAUGCAGCGACGCCGCGUGGGGGAUGAAGGCCUUCGGGUUGUAAACUCCUUUCGCUAGGGACGAAGCUUUUUGUGACGGUACCUAGAUAAGAAGCACCGGCUAACUACGUG
Molecule: ribosomal RNA, 465 nt
Filed under: uncultured bacterium
Lineage: Bacteria
Description: partial 16S ribosomal RNA
Rfam family: Bacterial small subunit ribosomal RNA
Source: RNAcentral